GGCGGGUCUCCUCGCAUUGCGGAUGGGUGAAUCUGGUCAGAUCCGGAAGGAAGCAGCCAUAGCCCUCUUCUGCGAGUGCCGGGGGUUAGGCUCGCCACC
Molecule: signal recognition particle RNA, 99 nt
Filed under: Pseudomonadota bacterium
Lineage: Bacteria; Pseudomonadati; Pseudomonadota
Description: signal recognition particle sRNA small type
Rfam family: Bacterial small signal recognition particle RNA
About the family: The signal recognition particle (SRP) is a universally conserved ribonucleoprotein involved in the co-translational targeting of proteins to membranes.
Source: RNAcentral